UCGGGAAUUUUGGGCAAUGGGGGAAACCCUGACCCAGCAACGCCGCGUGAAGGAUGAAGUAUUUCGGUAUGUAAACUUCGAAAGAAUAGGAAGAAUAAAUGACGGUACUAUUUAUAAGGUCCGGCUAACUACGUGCCAGCAGCCGCGGUAAUACGUAGGGACCAAGCGUUGUUCGGAUUUACUGGGCGUAAAGGGCGCGUAGGCGGCAAUUCAAGUCAUCUGUGAAAUCUCCGGGCUUAACUCGGAACGGUCAGAUGAUACUGCUUUGCUAGAGUGCAGAAGGGGCAAUCGGAAUUCUUGGUGUAGCGGUGAAAUGCGUAGAUAUCAAGAGGAACACCUGAGGUGAAGACGGGUUGCUGGGCUGACACUGACGCUGAGGCGCGAAAGCUAGGGUAGCAAACGGGAUUAGAUACCCAAGUAGUCCCUGAGCGGGCUGGCAAGGCGCAU
This 447-nucleotide ribosomal RNA is filed under the name uncultured bacterium. Its description in RNAcentral is "bacterial SSU rRNA". It matches the Rfam family "Bacterial small subunit ribosomal RNA", at positions 355 to 825 of the family's 1533-position model. The record is from RNAcentral.